Molecule: long non-coding RNA, 1555 nt
Organism: Gasterosteus aculeatus aculeatus (three-spined stickleback)
Lineage: Eukaryota; Metazoa; Chordata; Actinopteri; Perciformes; Gasterosteidae
Source: Ensembl
AAGCGGAGUGUUUGAAGCCCAUUGUUUCACGGGGUAGGCGCCGCCCCGGCAUCGGUACUUACUAACACCCCCCCCCCUCAAAAAAAAAGAAAGAAUUGGCUCCAACAGAAGUUGAAAAUGUGUCAGUGUGUCAGUCCCCUCUCACCUCCGACAGCCACCCUCCUAUGGUGUUUUUCAGACCAGGCCAGUGUCCUUUCCCUCUGUGCAUGUGAAUCAUAGAAAUUAGACUCUCUACUGUUAAAGUUCGAUGUGUGGAACCUUCAGUAAUUGUCAACCAGAACGUUCUCAGGGAUUUCUCUACACAGGAAAAAAGGCGGAACAAAUGAUCGACUGACUACAGGAAAAAAGACAAAAACGUGACACAACAUGAGCGAGCAUUUAUUGUACUCUGUAUAUAUGCCAUAGUAUAUGUCUGAAUAUGGAGGAUCUGAAAGUAUAUGUUAACUAAUUUAUACAGAGUAUUCUAUGUAAUGUGAAAUACUUGAAGCCGCUGUAGUUUGCUCUCUCUCUCUCUCUCUCUCUCUCUCUCUUUCUAUCUCCGGCUCUCCUUCUCUUUUUUUUUUUUGUUUGGUUUUUGGUAUUUUGUUGAAAAACAGAACAUAUCAGAAGGACUAGACUGACCUUGCUUUUUGGACUCACAAGGCCUCAAUGUAGACUAGCUCAGGCCGUCGGUCGAUACAUGUUUGGAAAAACACAAUACAGGACUUGAUUAUGCAUGUAAGCUGUUGCACUAGCCUAGCUUUCCAUAGGAUCCUAUGGGGACAAACUGUAAUGUGCUUUAUAAAGGACCUAAUUGGAGAUGAAUCUGGUUAAAAAUCGCGUAUCGUGUGUCCAGCCUUACAUGCAGUGAAGGCCUUCUCCUGGCUGAGGUCUGCCUCAUGUUGCAUUAAUAUAACCUUUUGUCGGAGUAACUUGCGUAACUCAACGAGAAUCACAUUGAUAAUUAUGCACAGGUUCUAUCUAGCUAAGAUUAAAGAAACAAGUCUCCUCAGAUCUCCCUUUCAUUCACCGCAGCAUUUCCAGUGUCUCCUCUGCAAUGUUCAGCUGUCCUAUCAUUACUUGCCUUUUUUUUUUUUUUUUACCUUCUUUAUACGUCUGAUUAUUCUUUCUUUUUCUUUGUUUUUGUGAGUGCAUCUCUUUUCUAUCUUGUGUUCAUUAAAGAUAAAAGCAGCCUUUUCUCUUGCCUUGUCUUAACGCUUUAAAGUAACCAAACAGGAGAUCUAUCUAACAACCAAACGCGUUCUAAGAGGUGAGAGACGACCCACCUUGGUCCCAGCUUUAGUGUCCUUAAUUAGUAAGUGAAUGGCUGUGUAACUCAUGCUUUAACAAAGCAAUUCCUCACGUGUGUUUGGUGAAAAAAAUACGUUGUCCAGUGUCUGUUGUUCUCUUCAGAAACAAUUUCCUCUGAGUCUUUCUUGCUGUUUUUAUUUCUUUUUUUUCUGUUUAUGUUCGUUUGUGUAGGAAUCUUUUGCUCUCCCAUUUUAUUUAUUACAAUGACCCAUGUAUACAUGCUUAUGAAAUUAAGAUUUGAUACACCGAUAUCAAUUUAUUUAUG